CGAAACGCCGACGGUCGGAGGAGUUGAAAGUUAUUUCUUGGUACGGUAAAACUACCCUUUCGAUUUGGGGAAAGGAUUAAUGGACCGGUACCCAUAGAAAGAAGCCCCGGCUAACUUCGUGC
Molecule: ribosomal RNA, 122 nt
Filed under: uncultured bacterium
Lineage: Bacteria
Description: partial 16S ribosomal RNA
Source: RNAcentral